Molecule: RNase P RNA, 304 nt
Filed under: Sulfuriferula sp.
Lineage: Bacteria; Pseudomonadati; Pseudomonadota; Betaproteobacteria; Nitrosomonadales; Sulfuricellaceae
Description: RNase P RNA component class A
Rfam family: Bacterial RNase P class A
About the family: Ribonuclease P (RNase P) is a ubiquitous endoribonuclease, found in archaea, bacteria and eukarya as well as chloroplasts and mitochondria. Its best characterised activity is the generation of mature 5'-ends of tRNAs by cleaving the 5'-leader elements of precursor-tRNAs.
Source: RNAcentral
GAAGCUGAUCAAGCAAUCGCUGCCUUGAGUAAUCAGGGGGGAGGAAAGUCCGGGCUCCAUAGAGCAGGAUGCCAGUUAAUGGCUGGCCGCCGUGAGGCGAGGAAUAGGGCCACAGAGACGAGUAAAUCCAUCGCAAGAUGGAUGGAUGUGAAACGCGGUAACCUCCAUCUGGAGCAAGACCAAAUAGGCAGGCGUUGAAGCUGCUCGCUGAGCCUGCGGGUAGGUUGCUUGAGCGUUUGGGUGACCAAACGCCUAGAGGAAUGAUUGCUCACGACAAAACCCGGCUUAUCGAUCAGCUUCACCU